CUUUUACGUCGGCCUCCGCGAGCGUUUGGUAGUGUGGUAGGAACAAUGGCGCUGUCUUCAGUGGCACAGCGGAGCAGUUCUGUGAAGAUGCAAAGAUACACGAAAAAAAUUCCAGAACAUCUGGGAGAAUAUUUAAUGGAAAAUCGCUUGGUUAAAACCUGACACUUAACAGUGAGGGUCGCUGUCUGCCCAUUGAUAGAGGCCAGAUUGUCUUGGAAGUUCCAAAGUUGCAACGAUUUCUUUGGUUGAAUCCGUGGACAUGAAACCCACAGAUACAGAGGGUCGGCCCGGUGCAGUGGCUCACGCCUGUAAUCCCAGCACUUUGGGAGGCCAAGGCAGGUGGAUCACCUGAGGUCAGAAGCUCGAGACCAGCCUGGCCAACAUGGGUACUGCUUUCUCUUGCUGCAGCUUGCUUCCUCCCUCAGAUAACUUGAAGAAGGAUAUUGAAUGUUCCUAACACAAAGAAAUGAUAAAUGUUUGAGAUGGUGGAUGUGCUAAUUGCCCUGAUCUGAUGACUAUACAUUAUAUAUAUUGAAACAUCAGUAUGUACCCCAUGAAUAUGUACAAU
Molecule: long non-coding RNA, 568 nt
Filed under: Pongo abelii (Sumatran orangutan)
Lineage: Eukaryota; Metazoa; Chordata; Mammalia; Primates; Hominidae
Description: lincRNA
Source: RNAcentral